Molecule: long non-coding RNA, 1404 nt
Organism: Chelonus insularis
Lineage: Eukaryota; Metazoa; Arthropoda; Insecta; Hymenoptera; Braconidae
Exons: 5
Source: RefSeq, a predicted model, not a curated record
UACAUUAUGACUCCGUAAAGUUAUGAUGGAACACGAAAUAGCAUGAAAAAUAAGUCUUAAAGUAAAAUGGAUUAGUUUAAAAUGAAAAUGUUCAAGAGUUUAACAUCACUGAUAUAACUUUUCAAUAUCUACUUUAUCAAAUUAUUAUAAAUGUAUACUGGAAGAAGGAUUGCUCGAGAUACUUUUUUCUACAAAUUAAAUGGACUACAUAAUUACAAAGAUCUGUAUUUUAUCUUUUUGAACAAUACAUAAUGUAUAUAGUACUAAAAGACAAUACAUAGAACUAAAGUAAAGGAAAGAAGAGCGCAUAUCCAUGUUGGAGAUAAAGUUUUUGCUGAACAUCGUAUGUUUCUCAUGUUGAUCCGCACAUUUUCCAGGCCGCUUGUUUGAUCGCUCUUCUUUUUCUACGUUAACACAAUCGGAUUUUUCUUCUUAACGAUUGUAUUUUGCUCUUGUCUGAUAGCUAAAGUUUUACAUAGUAAAGUCAGAAUUUAGAUAAUGUUCUGCAUUUCGCGUCGUGAAAUCGUCUAUAUUUCACGACAAGAAACUCCGGAAACAAGUGGAAAUACCACGCAAAGAUGUAACGUAGAGUGCUCUGUCGCAGCGGAAAUCGUAGGGAGAAGGUAUAAAUUGAAUCGGGUCCACCACAUCCGUCGUAUAAAAUGCUUCGCACGCCCUUUAAAUUGUCUAUGAACCCUCGUAGGAAAGGCGUUGCAGCAACUUACAGACAACCAUUAUAUAACGGAAAAUGCCAAUAACUCUUCAGUAAUGUUAUCAAACGUUUGAACAUGAAAGUCAUCAAUCUUUGCUAUAAUAACGAUAUUUGAGUAGAAGUGAUAGGAUCAAGGCAUCGAUAUGAAUUUGAAGAAAAAUCAGAGGUGAACGAACGAAAGUAGGACUAUAGAUGUAAAGAAGGUACAAAGAGAAGUACGAUACGUGAAAUGAAGCUAUCGGCUGGCAAAUGGUGUGCUACGUGGUAUCGAGGGAGGUUAGUCAGGGUGGCUGGUUGGUGAUGCAUUGCGCGAACUCCCCGCGGCAAGGUCACGUGACUCGUCCCCUCGGCCUAUCAUUGAUCGUUCCCCGGAGAAGCGUUGGACACACCGUUGUCGUAUCAGCGCACGUCGUCCAUGUCCAUACUACUACACUUUAGAAUAUAGAUAUUCGUAUGAGUGAAUAGAAAACGGACGCAAGCGAAAGAUAUACACAUCCAUUACCAUCAGCAUGCAAAUUAGAUUGGAGAUUAGUGAAAAUCCUUUCGUAACAAUUCUCGGGACCACGGACGGAAUGAGGAAAGACUGAACUGUGGAAACGAGUAGCAGUAGCCCUUCUGUACUCGACGUUAGCGGUGGGCUGAAUCAAGAAGAUCGAGAGAGGAAAGUGGCGAGAAAGUCGUACAGACGUACA